ACCAAUAAACAGUACUUAUCGAUUUUGCUAAGAAGUAAUUAAAUGAUUAACGAUCCGGCCACGAUGUUAACACUGUUUUAAAGAAUAAUAGUGAAAUUAAACUCAAAGUACAUAAAAAUGUAUUUUCAGCUUCUUCGUAUAAUGUGCAAAUAUAAAUUUUACAUUCUCAUUCCGUACGCUGUAAUUUUUUAUUUUGCAUUUAUUUGGUACUUUUGGAAUAUACAUGGCAAAUAUAACUAUAAAUACGUUGAACAUGGGACGUGGUGGAAGACGGAAGCAGUCGAGGAACCGUGCCAUGUAUCCAGGGAGAAUGAUGUUCUUGAACUCGUAACUGAGAAAACGAAAAUACCUUUGAACUCCAUAUUUUUCCACCACACGUCCUGUACGAUUGAUUUAUCGUCACGUCAAGCAUGUGCAAUAGAGUCGGCAGCUAAAACAAACCCUGAACGUCAAAUUAACGUCCUAUUCAUUUCAUCAAUAGAAGAAGACACCUUAAGAAAUGGCAGCCUCAGCACAAUUCUAGAUAAAUAUAAAAAUGUGAAACUAAGAAGAGUGCUCAUUUCAGAUUAUGCAAGUAGGACACCUCUAGAGUCCACUGUAGCGAACAUUAGUGUUGAUAAUGAUAUAUUGUUCGCACAAAUGUCGAAAAUAAUGAAAUACCUGACGUUGUAUAAGUACAGUGGGAUUUAUUUAAGUUUCGAUGUGAUUGUGGCCAGGAACUUAGAUUUGCGGCCCAAUUGGGUAGUUAAAAGUAGUCCAGCGUCGUUGUCAGCAGAUAUGUUUGCAUUUUCCAACGAUACAGUCGGAAGGAAGCUAGCUAAUGGCGCUAUGGGAUUUUUAAAGAGUGAAUUAUUAAACAAGGAGCUGGAUUUCUGGAGCUAUAACGCGCCAUCUGCGUUAACUCACUUGCUGUCUAGGUGGUGUACCACGGAUCAAGUGGAGCAGAUGACGUCGAAUGUAUGCCAAGAUAUCGCAGUACAUGAUCCAAAAAUGUUCUACCCAAUAGAUUUCCAUGACAGAAAACAGUAUUUUGAAAAUGUUGACUGGGAAGAAUGGAAAAAGAAGGAAAUCUACACUUAUUUCAUAUAUGAGCAAUUUACCAAAUAUAGUCUGGUACCACCAUUGUCUCUUUAUGGGAGGAUUGCUAAUGAGUAUUGUCCACUGACCUACGAACGAUCUACUGAUAAAAAGGGCUUAUGGUAUUAUAUGUAGAUAUAAUAAAAUCAUAGAUAUAAAAUAAUGAUGGGUCAGCCCUCUUAGCCAACGGGUCUGUCUACAUUUGUAAAUGAAUAAAAUUAAAAAAAUCUACGGAAUUCAAAAUUUCGAUUUUAGGAAGACACCUUGGCUAACGAAGCAGAAAUAAGAUAGUUGUAAUAAA
RNA transcript from Helicoverpa armigera (cotton bollworm), 1378 nucleotides. RefSeq lists it as uncharacterized. The record is from RefSeq and is a predicted model, not a curated record. NCBI's taxonomy places the organism in Eukaryota, Metazoa, Arthropoda, Insecta, Lepidoptera, Noctuidae. The transcript is spliced from 3 exons.